GUGUUCAUCAAAAUAAGAAAGACGGAGAAAGAAGAAAACAGAGACAAAAAGAAAAAAGAUAAUGGAUUUGAGAAGUCAAGUCAAUUCAGUCACAAUAUGGGAGUAAAGGACAGAUUAAAAGAAGUUUCUUGUGUGAGUGUGUGUGUGUGAAUGAGUGUGAAAAUGCGUGCAUGGGUACAUGUGCCUUAGAGUAGAGGUAAUUGGAAGACUUGAGGAGAAAUUACUCACUUUUCUUUUAAUACCAAUGACCAGACAGCUUGCCAGGUGCUCACUCAGAUUUGUAUCAUAUCUUUACAUACUGUCUUCUGGAUAGGUACAACUAUCCCCAUUUUUCAGAUGAGGACACAGAAUCUUAGAGAAAUGAAGAACUAGAUCAAGAUCUGUUUGAACGUAAGUGGUUGAGUCAGGAUUUGAAUACAGGCUUUUUGUUUUUAUCACUCCAGAGUCUCUUUUUUCUUCCUUGGUAAAUCCAGACUUAUCACUGGAGAUUCUGGUUCAAAAUUACUCUGGCAGUUUUACCACCUAAUAUAUGUUACUCCAAGAAUUUUCCAAGUCUGAUUAAAUAGAUUAGGUGGAGUCCUCCGAAACCCUUUCCUGAUUUCCUGGGCCAAGGUAAAGCAUAUCUCAGAGCAAAUUUUAAACAGUACUUUGUCAUUGAAGACCUAACUAUAUAUGAAGCAUUGUGUAGGUGCUGAGAAAGGCACAGAAAAAUAUACAAUAGGGCACUUGCCACCAGUGCCUUAUUAAUUAGAUAAAGAGAUAAAACAUACACCUGUGAAAAGCUAAAAAAAUUACUAUUAUCAAUUGACAAUUUGGCAUAGCAAAACAAGGCAUGAUUAAUUGCCAGAUAACACAAAAUGCAUGUGGUAGAAUUUGAGAGAUCUGUAAUUGGACUUCAGUGGCCUGAUAAUUCUUAAUGGAAGCGGUUUAAGCUGGAGGGAAAGGAUGGGCAGGAUUUAGACAGGGAGAACAGAGGUGGGAGAUGAAUUCAGGCCUUAACAAAAGUGUAAAGAAGAGCAGGACAGCAGGAGGCUGGGUUGAAGGAC
Molecule: long non-coding RNA, 1046 nt
Filed under: Homo sapiens (human)
Lineage: Eukaryota; Metazoa; Chordata; Mammalia; Primates; Hominidae
Description: HSALNT0264701
Source: RNAcentral